RNAcentral lists this unclassified non-coding RNA (946 nucleotides) under Diabrotica virgifera virgifera (western corn rootworm). RNAcentral describes it as "uncharacterized LOC126884860". The record is from RNAcentral. Lineage: Eukaryota; Metazoa; Arthropoda; Insecta; Coleoptera; Chrysomelidae.
AGCGAUGGAUAAAUUUAUAUCAAGGAAGGAAUACGCCCUUCAACCGAUCCAUUUUGCCGCAGACUUACUAAACCCUCGGUCUGUUGGUGCAAAUUUAUCAUCAGCCGAAAGGAUUGAAGCGAUGAAAUACAUUACUACUAUGUCAACCACGACCACGAUAGAGAUUGGUGAUGAAGGAGUGUCAAAGAUUACUGAGGAUUUAGGAAACUAUUUAGCUAAAACAGACUUUUUUGGCGAAACAUUUUUAUGGAACAUACUCGAUAAUGUCUCUUUGGUUACAUGGUGGAAAGGAUUUUGUGGACAUUCAUGCCUCUCCAAAGUUGCAGUCAGGAUAUUGACAAUGCCGUGCACUUCUGCGGCAACAGAGAGAAGCUUUAGCUCCCAGAGCAGCAUUCAUACGAAGAGAAGAAAUCGCCUAACAACUCAAAGGGCAGCAAAUUUAAAUUAUAUACAAUAUAAUUCAAAAUUGCUGAAACGUUCACGACAACAUCACAUACAAAGUCAAUAUCCUAUAGAAGAGACUGUACAGAACAACGUUUCGAUAGAAGGUAGAAACUUACAGAAGGAGAUAGAAGUAAUUGAAAACCAUAUUUCCGAAGAGGAAGAAUUAGACGAGGUAAUUUUAAAUUUAGGCAUUUUUUAGAUAUGUGAUAUGUGCAUGUGAUAUAUGCAGUUUGCUUCUUUUCCGAUUUUCCAAUGCAUUCCACCGUUUUCGAAUAAAAAAUUAUAAAUCUUAUGUUUUCAGACAAUAUCAUCAUGGCAUUCAAAUACAACAGGAAAUGGAAAUUCCGACGAUGAUUUUAAUUUUGCUGACUUUGCAAUGACCGAUGAUGAAAUUGAUCAAAGAAUGGAAACUAGGGAACAGAGACCAGCACGCAUUUUGAGACAAAGCAAAGUGAACAUUUUAGAAAACGUCUUAAUGAAAUCGGGUAAAGGCACAGAACAA